GUCUCUGUCCAAGAUUGGAAGACUUUUGUGGAAUCGGGAAUGCGUACUUUAACUAGAAUUUCGGGUCUUUCUGAGGCUAGGAUCCACAGCCCCACUAUUUAACAACUUGACUGAGAGCCCCCAUUUAAUGCCCUCGGCCACCACAUAUAAAUGCACAAGCCGGUUCGCUGCCGUGCUGGUCCCAAGAAUGGAAAAUGUAGAAAUACAAGAAACCAAAUGCCAGGGCUCCUAAAUCUAUUUUUCAAAUGAGCUUUUAAUAUAGCAAUAAUAGAUAUAGAGAUUAAAAAUGACUAUAGUGAUGUGUAAAUUGUAAAAUUGCACUGGAGAAAUACCGCAGAACGACAAUACCUAAAACAAAUUUAUGCCCUUCCUAAUACAACCGGUCUCAAUUUCAGCCUAAUGAAAUCUUCCUAGUCCUAAGUUUUGAAUUUACAGUAAAUCUCUUUCCAAUAUCACCUUCUUGGGGUGUGCUUGUGCUUGCUAUAAUCACUGUGGGUGCUUUAAAACCCCCUCCAGUUUUUAGAGUAGCUACCCCAACUCUAACCUUAGCUUUGAGGCAAUACUGGUUUUUCUUGCAUUGUUCUCUGAUUCAUAUGCAGACAGAGUCAAGACCACAAACCCAUAAGAUCUCAUCCAUUACAGUUCCUAGGAUUUAAAUUCUUAUUCUGAACUUGGGUUUUGCUGCAACAGGUUACAAACAAAUCCAACAUCACUUGCAAACUUUUGUGAGAAAUUAUAAUGGUUUCCAUCACUUAAAAUUUUUUAAAAAUGCUAUCCAUUCCCUGAAAAGAUUUGAACCGGAUGUCUUUUCAGAAACUGUCUCUGAAUUGACUACUUGCUCCCUCCCCCUUAAUCUUGUAAAUAUAAUAAAAACAUAAACAAAUUACAGCAGUGAAGUCCUUAAGAUUUAGAGUGGAUUCCUCACCGUUUGGUAAGAGCAAGGUGCUCUGGGCUGCACACAAGCAAUUCCUGAAACAGUUAUUAGGAGACUCAGAGGGAGAGGCAAAGAGCCCUGAGGGUCUGUUCUGAGUCAACGAGGGAGGGGGAUUCAGGAUCAGAGACCAGCCACACCCUAGGGGCCAGGAGAGUGAGGAGCUGAGCUGGUCACUGCUGUUAGUAGAGCUAAAGCAAAGCCAGGUAGAAUAAGAACGGGACCAAGUAGCCAGAAAAGUCAUAAGUGGUCCUGCUAUGGACAAGAAGCCUUUGGCAUAUGGUCCACCUGUCUUUAGGAAGUGGCUGCAAAGCCCUCAAUGGGGCAGAGGGCCUAGGAUGCUGAUGCAGUGAUACAGGCUCAGAGCACGUGGGUGUCAGACCCAUCUCUUCGGGGCCAACUUUGGCUGGGUGUUCACUGGGCCGUCCUGGGCAACUCAAGGCCAGCUGGAUAGAAUCAUAGCCCCAAUGCUUCCCUCAUCCUCUGCUUUGGCUCCCAGAACUCUCGACUCAGGAAGGGAGGAUGCUCUUGGGUUCUGGGGGUGGGUGCAGGGCAGGGGUGGGGGGAGCAUUCCUGAGUCACCUGCAGGAUGCUGCCCUUUAGGAAGUUAAUUAGGACUCCGGUCGUCUGUGAUAAUGACUGUCAUCAUAACGUCUGUGGAGAUGACUUACUGCGCUGCCAGGAACACGUUCGGCAAAUCCGGGUUGUUUUCCUCCGUGUUGUCGCAGCCAUCCUCACCUUCCUCUCUUCUUCUCAGAGCAGCCUCGCCCACUGCUUGCCACCUCCUUCUCUUCUUCCACUGCCGCCUUUUCUCCAGCCUUCCCUGUUCAGAAGAAUGAAGUCAUGAAACAUUAAAGAAGAAGGGACGUUAAACCAAGACCACCUCACCUAACUGUGACCCUUUACACGUGAGCAAAGUGCAUCCAGAGACAGGAGGUGACAGCGAUGGCCAGGCGGCUGACUUCUGACAGGUUCGAGCGGAGUACCAGGACUCCUGGGGCCACGCGAUGUUCUAUCUGUUGCUCUGAACAGCCGCAUCUUCCCGUUUUCCUUUUUCCUCCUUGCCUGCCUUCCUCCCUCCUCCUUCUGACACUAGGAAGGAUGGACAGGCUCCUGAGGGCUUCCUGAACAAGAAAAGCUAUGUGUUGGUGGUGUGAAGAGCUUAUCCGUGGCAAGCACCGCAGGCCAGAAACAGCCAUCAGCAGCCCCUCUGGGCUCUGUGCUCAAACUUGUCCCAGUGGAGACCCACAGCUCCUCUCUCCUCUGGCGUAGAGAGCUGGAGGGGUCAUUCUGACUUGCAAAGUGAAAAUUGGUUGUUUGGUAAUGGCUCAGGCCAGGAGCCACUGAAUCCCAACUGCCAGCUACUGACAUUAUUGCAAAUAGCAACUCCUCUGCCGCAAAUGAAGCUGCUGAUGAAAAAGGCUGGUUUCCAGCGGAGGGCCUCCAACUGAGCGUGAAUUGUGUGCAGGAAUGCACACUGCAGUGGCGGCCCUUUCCUGGUCCUUUCUCUUUCCCGGUUUUUGCCAGGGAGUGUCCCAGAACUCACCCUACCGACCCAGGUCACAAAAAUCCUGGCGUCUGCUGUUCCUUCCCUGCGCGGUGAGCUAUGAUAGAACCCAAGGUGCUGGAAUUAAAGGGAGCUCCAGCACUCACCUCAUGCCCUAUUCUUUUAUUUCACAGACAGUGAAACUGAGACCUAGAUAAGCUAGGGUCCAGCAUUUAGUGACACAGCUCAGAAGCAAGCUAACUUAGGAAGCAGGAAAAGGGUGGAAGGAGGAACUGACAGGUAUUGAACUACUAUGUGCCAGGCUUAACCCUUGUAAUCUCAUUAAAUUUUCAAAGGAGGGGUUUUAUUUUAUUUUAUCUUUUAUGGCUGCACCUGUGGCAUAUGUAGGUUCCCAGGCCAGGGACUGAAUCUGAGCUGCCCGCAGCUACAGCAAUGCCAGAUCUUUAACCCACUGUGCCAGGCCAGGUAUUAAACCUGUGCUUCCGGAGCUGCUCCAGUCGGGUUCUUAACCCACUAUGCCACAGUGGGAACUCCUCAAGGGAGGGCUUUUAAAAAGGAAGAGAGCUGCGGUUCUACAAGAAUGGAGGACUUGAGCAAUGUCAUCCGGGGAAAAGCAGAAGAGCCUGUGGGAGGAGGGCUGUACAGCCUCCCUCCAAAACCUCCACGGAUUCCUUAUUUCUCCACCUGGUGAAACCAGGAAGGUGGCCUCCAGCAGCUCUCCCAGGACUUAGAGGUGGAGGAGAAAGAAAGACCUUCCCAGGGGUGACGUGCCCUCCACCCCAGCCCUGCCCCGCAGCGGCUUCUGCUCUCCUGCUCUGCAUUCUCUCUCCCACCCACUGCCCACUGAGGUGUUUUUACCGCAGGCAUUACAGGGACUCUCAGCACUUCCUGAGUUCCCUGCAGCUGUUCCCACCAGAUCAGUGAUGCCCUUCAACUCCAGGUCACGAUUAUAAACGCCUGGUGGUUGCUUCACCAGAAAGCCGUGUUGCUAAAGAUGGGGAGAGAGUCGCUUGGGUUUAGCAAAAAGGAACCGAGUCCAGCUCCAUCAGGGUGGGUGGGAUCUUUCCUAGAGCCCUUUUCAAAGACACGAGGAUGAGGGCAUUGGUUUUUAAACUGCUGCCUCCACCUUUCCAGCAA
Molecule: long non-coding RNA, 3575 nt
Filed under: Sus scrofa (pig)
Lineage: Eukaryota; Metazoa; Chordata; Mammalia; Artiodactyla; Suidae
Description: lncRNA (ENSSSCG00050023103.1)
Source: RNAcentral